UACGUAGGGGGCAAGCGUUGUCCGGAAUCAUUGGGCGUAAAGAGCGUGUAGGCGGCCAGAUAAGUCCGCUGUGAAAUCUCGAGGCUCAACUUCGAGCUGUCGGUGGAAACUGUCUGGCUAGAGUCCGGAAGAGGAGAAUGGAAUUCCCGGUGUAGCGGUGAAAUGCGCAGAUAUCGGGAGGAACACCAAUUGCGAAGGCAGCUCGCUGGGACGUUACUGACGCUGAGACGCGAAAGCUAGGGGAGCAAACAGG
Molecule: ribosomal RNA, 253 nt
Filed under: uncultured bacterium
Lineage: Bacteria
Description: partial 16S ribosomal RNA
Rfam family: Bacterial small subunit ribosomal RNA
Source: RNAcentral